RNAcentral lists this ribosomal RNA (253 nucleotides) under uncultured bacterium. Its description in RNAcentral is "partial 16S ribosomal RNA". It matches the Rfam family "Bacterial small subunit ribosomal RNA", at positions 524 to 776 of the family's 1533-position model. The record is from RNAcentral.
UACGUAGGUGGCAAGCGUUGUCCGGAAUUAUUGGGCGUAAAGCGCGCGCAGGCGGUCCCUUAAGUCUGAUGUGAAAGCCCACGGCUCAACCGUGGAGGGUCAUUGGAAACUGGGGGACUUGAGUGCAGAAGAGGAAAGUGGAAUUCCAUGUGUAGCGGUGAAAUGCGUAGAGAUGUGGAGGAACACCAGUGGCGAAGGCGACUUUUUGGUCUGUAACUGACGCUGAGGCGCGAAAGCGUGGGGAGCAAACAGG